CCCUUAGAUGUUCUGGGCCGCACGCGUGCUACACUGAGUGGAUCAGCGGGUCAGGUUGCGCGAAAGCGUUUCCUAAUCUUUAAAUCCGCUCGUGAUGGGGAUUGACGGUUGCAAUUUUCUGUCAUGAACGAGGAAUACCUUGUAAGCGCGGGUCAUCAUCCCGCGCUGAAUACGUCCAUGCCCUUUGUACACACCGCCCGUCGCUCCUACCGAUUGAGUGGUCCGGUGAGGCUUUGGGAUCUGAGCGGAAAGAGCGUUUCGCUGUUUCUGCUCGGAAAACUCAGUCGAACCUUAUCAUUUAGAGGAAGGAGAAGUCGUAACA
RNAcentral lists this ribosomal RNA (322 nucleotides) under uncultured eukaryote. Its description in RNAcentral is "partial 18S ribosomal RNA". It matches the Rfam family "Eukaryotic small subunit ribosomal RNA", at positions 1470 to 1796 of the family's 1831-position model. The record is from RNAcentral.